UGAUGUGAGGGUGAUCUGGCUGCGAUAUCUGUCACCCCAUUGAUUUCCAGGGUUGAUUUGGCUGAUCUGGCUAGCUAGGCGGGUGUCCCCUUCCUCCCUCACCCUCCAUGUGCGUCUCUCCCAAAGCUGCGCGCUUGGUCAAAGAGGACGACCAUCCCCACUAGAGGAGGACUGGUCUUCGGUCAAGGGUAUACUGCUAGAACCUCCAAACAAGCUCUCAAAUAAACUAUUUUUUUAGUUAUGAGAAUGUGGAAAUGCUAAUUACUGUGAUUUGAUCAGCAUAUGCUAUAUAAAUAUUUGGGCAUACCAC
Molecule: small nuclear RNA, 310 nt
Filed under: Ochotona princeps (American pika)
Lineage: Eukaryota; Metazoa; Chordata; Mammalia; Lagomorpha; Ochotonidae
Description: 7SK RNA (ENSOPRG00000021667.1)
Rfam family: 7SK RNA
About the family: 7SK was discovered as an abundant small nuclear RNA in the mid-70s but a possible function has only recently been suggested.
Source: RNAcentral